UACGGAGGGUGCAAGCGUUAUCCGGAUUCACUGGGUUUAAAGGGUGCGUAGGCGGGUAAGUAAGUCCGUGGUGAAAUCUCUGAGCUUAACUCAGAAACUGCCGUGGACACUAUUUGCCUUGAAUAUUGUGGAGGUGAGCGGAAUAUGUCAUGUAGCGGUGAAAUGCUUAGAUAUGACAUAGAACACCAAUUGCGAAGGCAGCUCACUACUCAAUCAUUGACGCUGAGGCACGAAAGCGUGGGGAUCAAACAGG
This 253-nucleotide ribosomal RNA is filed under the name uncultured bacterium. Its description in RNAcentral is "partial 16S ribosomal RNA". It matches the Rfam family "Bacterial small subunit ribosomal RNA", at positions 524 to 776 of the family's 1533-position model. The record is from RNAcentral.